GAUGAAGAACGUAGCGAAAUGCGAUAACUAAUGUGAAUUGCAGAAUUCCGUGAAUCAUCGAGUCUUUGAGCGCACAUUGCGCCCCCUGGUAUUCCGGGGGGCAUGCCUGUCCGAGCGUCAUUACAACCCUCAAGCCCGGCUUGUGUAAUGGGCGGCCGUCUCUCCCCCCGGGGGGAGACGCCCCCGAAACUCAGUGGGGAUGUCGCGAUACCGAAGCCUCAGCUAAUGGGUAAACCACAGCUGCAAUGGCCGCGGCCGGCGUCCGCCUUCCACGGUCCGUCCGCCUAGCGCGGGCGGCCUUCUCAAGGUUGACCUCGGAUCAGGUAGGGAUACCCGCUGAACUUAAGCAUAUCAAUAAGCGGAGGA
This 366-nucleotide unclassified non-coding RNA is filed under the name soil metagenome. RNAcentral describes it as "partial contains 5.8S ribosomal RNA, internal transcribed spacer 2, and large subunit ribosomal RNA". The stretch from base 1 to 120 matches the Rfam family "5.8S ribosomal RNA", at positions 35 to 154 of the family's 154-position model. The record is from RNAcentral.